This 410-nucleotide ribosomal RNA is filed under the name uncultured archaeon. RNAcentral describes it as "bacterial SSU rRNA". It matches the Rfam family "Archaeal small subunit ribosomal RNA", at positions 595 to 997 of the family's 1478-position model. The record is from RNAcentral.
GGAACCGGGAGAGGUAAGAGGUACUACAGGGGUAGGAGUCGAAAGUACGUUGUAAUCCCUGUGGGACCACCUGUGGCGAAGGCGUCUACCAGAACGGGUUCGACGGUGAGGGACGAAAGCUGGGGGCACGAACCGGAUUAGAUACCCGGGUAGUCCCAGCCGUAAACGAUGCUCGCUAGGUGUCAGGCAUGGCGCGACCGUGUCUGGUGCCGCAGGGAAGCCGUGAAGCGAGCCACCUGGGAAGUACGGCCGCAAGGCUGAAACUUAAAGGAAUUGGCGGGGGAGCACAACAACGGGUGGAGCCCUGCGGUUUAAUUGGACUCAACGCCGGACAACUCACCGGGGGCGACAGCAAUAUGUAGGCCAAGCUGAAGACUUUGCCUGAAUCGCUGAGGAGAGGUGGUGCAUGG